This 397-nucleotide ribosomal RNA is filed under the name uncultured bacterium. RNAcentral describes it as "bacterial SSU rRNA". It matches the Rfam family "Bacterial small subunit ribosomal RNA", at positions 28 to 416 of the family's 1533-position model. The record is from RNAcentral.
GAUGAACGCUGGCGGCGUGUCUAAGGCAUGCAAGUCGAACGGACUGUUAUUUGUAGCAAUACUUAGAACAGUUAGUGGCAAACGGGUGCGUAACACAUUGGUAACCUGCCUCAAAGUCGGGCAUAAUCCCGCGAAAGUGGGACUAAUUCCACGAUGGUCAUCGAAGGUGAGAUUCCUUCGAUGUAAAGUCGCAAGACGCUUUGAGAGGGGCCGAUGGCCUAUCAGCUUGUUGGUGAGGUAACGGCUCACCAAGGCUAUGACGGGUAGGGGGUGUGAGAGCACGACCCCCCUCACUGGGACUGAGACACUGCCCAGACACCUACGGGUGGCUGCAGUCGAGAAUAUUCCCCAAUGGCCGAAGGGCUGAGGGAGCGACGCCGCGUGCAGGAAUAAGGCC